GAUUAACGCUAGCUGUGCGCCUAACACAUGCAAGUCGAGCGAUGAAAGUUUAACAGAUUUCUUCGGAAUGAAGUUAAAGUGGAUUAGCGGCGGACGGGUGAGUAACGCGUGAGCAACCUGCCUUAAACAACGGGAUAGCCUCGGGAAACCGGGAUUAAUACCGUAUGAGACCCCGCCUUCACAUGAAGAAGAGGUUAAAGAUUUAUCGGUUCAAGAUGGGCUCGCGUCUGAUUAGCUAGUUGGUGAGAUAAAAGCCCACCAAGGCAACGAUCGGUAACCGGCUUGAGAGAGUGAACGGUCACAUUGGAACUGAGACACGGUCCAAACUCCUACGGGAGGCAGCAGUGGGGAAUAUUGCACAAUGGGGGAAACCCUGAUGCAGCGACGCCGCGUGAGCGAUGAAGGAAUUCGUUUCGUAAAGCUCUGUCCAAGGGGAAGAUAAUGACAGUACCCUUGGAGGAAGCCCCGGCUAAAUACGUGCCAGCAGCCGCGGUAA
This 496-nucleotide ribosomal RNA is filed under the name uncultured bacterium. RNAcentral's name for it is "partial 16S ribosomal RNA". It matches the Rfam family "Bacterial small subunit ribosomal RNA", at positions 28 to 523 of the family's 1533-position model. The record is from RNAcentral.